Molecule: non-coding RNA, 77 nt
Organism: Parelaphostrongylus tenuis
Lineage: Eukaryota; Metazoa; Nematoda; Chromadorea; Rhabditida; Metastrongylidae
Source: the annotation of a GenBank genome assembly
ACGAUGCCUCUGUGGUGUAGUGGUAGCGCACGCCUCCGCUAUGGGUGAAAACGCGGGUUCAACUCCCGUCUGUUGUC